This 399-nucleotide long non-coding RNA is filed under the name Nicotiana benthamiana. Its description in RNAcentral is "long non-coding RNA (NBEN_LNC027229)". The record is from RNAcentral. Lineage: Eukaryota; Viridiplantae; Streptophyta; Magnoliopsida; Solanales; Solanaceae.
AUACCCCGAGAGAAUAUACUGAGGGAUAGAGUGAUGUUUAAGGCUAAACUUACCAAAAGAGAGCUUCACAUUUUUUCUUCUUAAGUGCUUGAAAUCAAAAGCUACUGUUGAUCUUGACUUGGGAUUUGGUGUUUAUUGUAUGAUACCAAUGGUUUUCAAUUCUUAUUGCUGGACUUUUUCGUUGGGAUUCAAACAUUGUUGCAUUGGUUUCUUGGAUUUUUUUCUACUUGGUUUUCAAUUUAUUCCUAGGUUUUCUCCUACUGUUUGCUAUUGGGUUUUACUGGUUGUUGCUGAGUUUUGUUGUUGCCGUGUAUACUAGUACUGCGCUGAUCAAUCACUCUUCUUCUUUUGCUUUCCAAUACUAGGUACACAAUUGAUUUAUUGAAUCUUGUAAGCCGA